RNAcentral lists this long non-coding RNA (3053 nucleotides) under Homo sapiens (human). RNAcentral's name for it is "maternally expressed 8, small nucleolar RNA host gene". The stretch from base 1441 to 1512 matches the Rfam family "Small nucleolar RNA SNORD113/SNORD114 family". The record is from RNAcentral. Lineage: Eukaryota; Metazoa; Chordata; Mammalia; Primates; Hominidae.
CCAUGGUUACAAGCUCUAUAGCUGCAUCUAUGUGUUAGGAGCAUGAAGACCAAUGUGGAAUGGAUGCACUGAGCUGAUUAUGAAUUUAGCCCUGAUGAAGACUUGUGUUGCUGUCAUGAUAUGAAAGAUUCCAGUAAUGAACGCACUUGAGUUGAUUCAAGCACGCUUCCAUGGUCAUGAGCUCUGUGGUUGCAUCUGUGUGUUAGGAGCAUGCAGACCAAUAGUGAUAAUCUCGAGGUGAUUUAUGCAUUCUUCCAUGGCCACCAGCCUUAUGAUUGCAUCUGUGCGUCACAGCUUAGAGAUCAAUAAUGGAUGCAACAAGCUCUUUGAAUCAUUCUGUUGGGAUCAAGAUUGUUGUGUUCCCUCUGUUUGGAAAGAGACCAAGAAUGGAUACGCUCAGGUGAUUUAAGCAGUCUUCCAUGGCCACGAGCUCUGUGGUUGCCUCUGUAUAUUAAGAGCACAGAGAUUAAAAAUGGCCCCAUUCCAGCUGAUAUAAGCACUCUUCCAUGGCAUGUGCACUAUGGUUGGUUCUCUGUGUUAGGAGCACACAAACCAUUGCGAGUAUGCAUUCAUUUCCUCUCUUUACAAGAAUGGGUGCACUUGAGCCGAUUGAAACAUUCCUCCUUGCAUCUUUCUUCUGUGAUUGCAUCUAUUUGUUAGUAGCAUAGAGACCAAUAAUAGAUGGCUUGUGCUGAUGGAAGGAUUCCUCCCUGGUGACAUGCUGUGUCUGCCUCUUGAUUGGGAGCACGCAGACCUACAAUGAUGCACUUUUUAUGAUUUGAGAAUUCCUUCAUGGUCACGUGCUCUGUUUUUAUCAUGGUUGGGAGCCUGCAGAGCAAUAAGGGACAUGCCUUUGCUGAUUUGAGGAUUCCUCUGAGGUUGGGAGCUAAGUUUGCAUCAUGCUUAGAAAGGAGUGUGCAGACCUGUAAUGAUUGCACUUUGCUGAUUGAAGGAUUCCUUCAAGUCCAUGUGCUCCACUUGCACCAUUUUUAGGAUGGAGCCUGGAGACCUAUAAUGAACAACUUGUGCUGUGUUAAGGAUUCCUCCAUGAUCACGCGCCCCAUUUGUACACCAUGCUUGGGAAGGUGCAUGCAGACCAAUGUUAGUAAUAGUCAAAAUUCCUGUGUCGGUUUGUGUGGUUUGCUAAACAGGACUCAAUGUAUCAUGAAACAGUGUAUUAUAUAGUCAACUAUGGUCAACUAUGUCCCAGUGAUAUUUAUGAGAGGGAUCUGAAGUAUUUAUUGAUAAUGCAUAUAUGAAAAACGGAGAAGAAUUAAUGAAACAGAUAUAUCUGUGUUAGAAUGAUUCUGUAUAAAGAUAGGGAAUAUCAAGUCUGUUCUUAGUGUUUUGUGAAUCACAGAGUGUAAAAUUAUUCCCAGUGAAUUAAUGAAUAAAUUUAAAGACAACAUAGAAAUGAAUGCAGAAAAAGAGGGUCAACCCUGGAUCGAUGAUGAGCACUGGUGGAGUAUGAGUCACAUACGAUGAAUACGUGUCUGGAACUCUGAGGUCCAUCGCAGAAGUCAGUUUCCUCUGUUUCAACUAACUCUGUAGAUAGAUGACAAGAAUAGAGAAUGAAUUUUUUUUGUUUAUGAGUUUUUAUUUUAUAAUUGGUUCAAUGAAAGAAUAAAACAUAUAUGAAUAAAUAAAUAAGUUAUGCAUUGUCCAAUUAUAAAAAUGUGUGAUGAGGUGUAUUUAAUACGUAUUUAAAUUGAUGAAAGCCAAAAAUAAAUCUAACAUACCUAACCUUUUUGGCCAAUAAUGAAGAGAUAGUAUAAAUUAUAUGCUAUUUUCGUGUUCUUGGUUAGUGGCAAGUUCAAAGUUGUUCAUACUUCAAAUAACGAUUGCCUAAAUGUUUAACUACAGAUAGGUAAAAAGGAAAGAUCAACAAUGAGAAAAAUCACAUUUUUGUUAUUAUUUUCUCUGCUCUGCACUCAUCAGAAUGGACGUACUUGUGAUGAUUUAAAGAUGCCUCCAAGGUCACGUGCUCUGUUUGCACCAUGCUUAGGAAGGAGCGUACAGACCAAAAAUGGAUGAAUUGUGCACCUUGAAAAGUUCUUCCAUGGUCACCUGAGGCAUCUGCGUCAUGAUUAGGCUCCGGAUGACUAAUAAUGGACGUACUUGUUCUGAUUUGAGGACUUCUUCAUGGUCACAUGUUCUGUUUGCACCAUGCUUAGGAAGGAGCAUGUGUACCAAUGUGAGUGACAGUCAGAUUUCUUGCAUUUCUUUGGGUGGUUUAUUUAAGAGGACUCAAUGUACUGUGAAUAAACAUGUAAUAUAAUCAAAGAUGGUGAAUUUUAUCUAGUGAGGGAUAUUGGAGUCAAAAGAAGUAUUAUAUUGAUAAUUCACAUAUGAAAAACAGGAUAACUCAUGAAACAUUAAUAUAGGAAUUAUUUGGGAUAUCUUUUUGGGUUUUGUGAGUCAUAAGGUUUAAAGUUAUUAUUAGUAAAUUAAUGAAUUAAUCAACAGACAAUGUAGAAAAUAACAGAGAAAAGAAGGGCCAAUCCUGGAUCGAUGAUGACUACUGGUAGCAUGAGUCAUAUACAGUGAAUACAUGUCUGGAACUCUGAGGUCUGUCUCAAAAGAUAUCUAGUCUAUUUCCUGUUUCAAAUGAUCCUACAGACAGAUGGCAAAAAAUAGAAUGUAUAUGUGUUUGGUUUUCAUGUUUAUGAAUUUUUAUUUUACAUUUAUGAUUGGCUCAAUCAGAGAAUCAGUUAAUAAAUAUACAAAUAAAGAUGAAUAAGGGCCGGGCAUGGUGGCUCACACCUGUAAUCUCAGCACUUUGGGAGGCCAACACGGGUAGAUCACUUGAUGACAGGAGAUCGAGACCUACCUGGCCAACGUGGCGAAACCCUAUCUCUACUAAAAAUACAAAAAUUAGCCAGGCAUGGCGGCAUGUGCCUCUAAUCCGAGGACUUGGGUGGCUGAGGCACAUGGAUUGCUUGAACCCGGGUUUCAAAAAUUGCUUGAACCUGGGAGGCUGCAGUGAUCCGAGAUCACGUCACUGCAGCUUGGCAACAGAGCAAGAUUCUGUGUCAAAAAGAAAAAAAUAAAAA